Nematostella vectensis (starlet sea anemone) is the source of this 3095-nucleotide long non-coding RNA. RefSeq lists it as uncharacterized. The record is from RefSeq and is a predicted model, not a curated record. Lineage: Eukaryota; Metazoa; Cnidaria; Anthozoa; Actiniaria; Edwardsiidae. The transcript is spliced from 2 exons.
CGGAGACAGACCACGAUUACGUUAGAAAGCCAGUUAGUGUGCUCGAACCGGACCUCGACCCGGCAUCCACGGUGCUCGAUCACGUGCUUUUCUGGUAACCCUGUGGUAGAUGGGAAGCAUUAGUGACGACAGGAAGCAGGACCCCAGAGCCACAACUCUCGUAUAGACCACUCAGACGAAAGCAACGUGUUUGAAAUAUUUAUGGGUGUCCAAAUGCCCUUGCCGGCAUCUAGGUCCAGUAAGCAGCACAAUACACUAUUAGUGGAGAAUCCGGAGGGUGACGCAAUAGCCACUUACUAUGCAACUCCAGCCAAAUACCGCUGCGCUGUUCUCGCUCCUCUUGCGGGCUCAGUUUUGGAUCCACAGGGUCCCUGAGACUGAAAGAGCUUGAAGUCUUGCUAUCGUACUGGGGUCGCUGACGCUCUGUGUACUCAUCCAUAGCGACCUCGUCCUCAACGUCUGCGGGCAAGGAAGUGGGCAUGUCAUACGAUUUGUCACGAAAUGUCACGCUAUGGGCAAUUUACGUCCGACACUACGGCACUCAUACACUAUCAAAUGUGAUUUGUCACGCCCGUCACCCUCUCUCGCGCUUCGUGUAACGAAAUAUGUAAUGAUACAGUGUGACAGCGUACAAUGCACCCCAAACACGUCACCCUCUUUCGCGUAUCGUGUAACGAAAUACGUAAUAUUAUGUCACAUCAUUGUACGCUGUCACACAAGGUGUCACGGCACGUCACGCUCUCUCUCGUGUCACGCCAUACCUGCCGCGACUCGGUGCAGUACGUCUUCCACCUUCACGUCCAACGUGAUGUUAUUCAGGAGAUGCUUCAUAUAAAUGCCGUUACUGUCACUCUUUCGCUCGUAUGCAUCGCUCCCUUUACAGCUAGAAGGGCGAGAAAGUCCCGAGUCAAUAUCGAACAAACCCGAGGCAUAAUCCGAGCCAACCACCUCUACUAUAAUCCGAUCACGAUCCACCGCCGAACUAAUCCGAGCCACCACUGAACUGAUCCGAGUCCCCGCCGAACUAGCCCGAGCCACCACCGACCAAACUAAUCCGAGCUAACAUCGAACUAGCCCCAGCCACCACCGAACUAAUCCGAGCCAACUUCGAACUAAUCUAAACUAACAUCGAACUAAUCCAAACUAACAUCGAACUAAUCCGAGCCAGCAUCCAACUAAUCUGAGCCAACAUCGAAUUUAUCUAAACCGACAUCGAGCUAAUCCGAGCCAGCAUUGAACUAAUCCGAGACACCAUCGAACAAACCCGAGUGACCACCGAACUAAUCCGAGCCGGCAUCGAACUAAUCCGAGACACCACCGAACUAAUCCGAGCUUCCACAAAACUAAUCCGAGCCACCAUCAGAGUCGUCUAAGCAGAAAUCAAUGUGUAAAAAAACAUGUAGUGACAGAUUGACUCACGUGGCGUAUCCAGUGACGAGCUGGGCGUCAAAUGGAAAGGAGUAGGUUUCCAUCUUGUAGGCCUGACUCGUCACGGCUCUGGAGGACACGUAUAAGAUGCGCGCAGAAAUUUUGAUGUCAUGUCAACAUAACAUGUCUAUUCGUUCAAUUCGGACAAGGCUACCUCGGUGGUGGGUAACCGUGACUUAUACAUAUUGAAUUGACGUCCCUUCUAAAGGGGAACGGGAGAUUAGUAUACCCAUGAAACCACGCCCUCAUACCCCCGAAAUAAAAAGGCAUAGUAUUUGUGUAACACAAACGCAAAUCAACAUCGCUAGACACGAUCAAGAGCGCUUAUCAUGUGACUGACUUUACCCGUCAGUUUGUAGAUACGGACUGCUCCACGCAUUUAACAACCAUCAGUGUGGGUUUGUGUGCAAGCACUGUCACUGAAGAUGGUACCACGGGCCAGCGUCCCCAGCGGUUUUUUUACGCCUCUUAACACAGGUUAAUAAUGUGCAGUGAGAGACGGGACCCCCGGCUUAACGUUCUUAUCCGAGGGGACGACCGGAACUCACAGUCUGAAAAAAUCCCAAGUUGACCAGAUCUGGGAUUGAACCCUGGCCCUCUUGCUGGAAAGACAAAGAUCGUACAACUGAGCUCAUACCGCCACCAACCUCUUCCUGCAGAUGUCCAGAAGGAAGAUGUUCAGUUGAGUGCCGCGCGCAUGCAUCAUCUCGAACACCUUCUGUACACAGACCGCCUCGUCAGGGGCCCAGUCCCUCUCGGCGUCUAUAGGAACCAUGUAGUUCUGGCCCUGUUCCUCGAAGCCAUGGCCGGCGAAGUAUAGCAAGCCGUAAACAUUUUCACCGAGGAGGUCGAGGAAUAAAUUGAUAGCCUUGUCCAUCUCUACUCGGGUUAAGUUAACCUGGCGAGGAUAAUCAAGAGCCAUCGUCUUUAUUAUCAUCACCAUCAAUAUCAUUAACAUCACUAUCAUCACCAUAAUCAAUAUCAUCACCACCACCGUUUUGCCCGAGUGACAUCUUUUUUUCCGUGUACUGUUUUAUUUUUAUUUUUUUUACUCUUCAAUUUUAGAAAAAUAAAAUUGCCUGAUACUCGAGCUAUGUCAUGGUCCUCACCAUCAUCCUCACUGUUAUCAUCAUCAUUUUGUCAUUAUCAUCGUCGCUGUCAUAGUCCUGGCUACGGACCUGAUUGGUCACUGUCAUUCAGGCUUGUACACAGGGCGUUGCACAGGGUGUGGGCCACAAGGAAUCUUCAAAUAUUAGGCUUUUUUCAUAUGAUACCUAUGACUGCACCCCCCCCCCAGCUAAUCCUGGGUACGUGCCUGGUCACCUCUUUUUUGCAAAGGGGAGAACCCAUUUAGCAGCAUUCAAGACAAGGUCAACCCACCAUUGACACAACUUUAAAGUUCAUGGAAUUCUUCCUGAGGACAGAAGCCAGUCUUUGAGCAUCACUACACGAAUGGACCAAUGGAGAGCCAUCCUCAGGUAGAUUGAUGUAGUCACGGUUACCGAUCACCAAGGCAACUUUGUCUGCAGCUGCAAUCAAAACGCCAAUCAUUAAGUUUGUCUCUAAGCAGAGACGCAAAGUGCAAAUGCAAUCCUAACACAAGAAAGAGCUAGUCAAACCUGAUUAAGCAUAAAAAUAAAUUAGUUUGGUUUAUUUGGCCUUGCGAA